Molecule: ribosomal RNA, 543 nt
Filed under: Meyerozyma guilliermondii
Lineage: Eukaryota; Fungi; Ascomycota; Pichiomycetes; Serinales; Debaryomycetaceae
Description: eukaryotic LSU rRNA
Rfam family: Eukaryotic large subunit ribosomal RNA
Source: RNAcentral
GCGGCAAAAGCUCAAAUUUGAAAUCUGGCGCCUUCGGUGUCCGAGUUGUAAUUUGAAGAUUGUAACCUUGGGGUUGGCUCUUGUCUAUGUUUCUUGGAACAGGACGUCACAGAGGGUGAGAAUCCCGUGCGAUGAGAUGCCCAAUUCUAUGUAAGGUGCUUUCGAAGAGUCGAGUUGUUUGGGAAUGCAGCUCUAAGUGGGUGGUAAAUUCCAUCUAAAGCUAAAUAUUGGCGAGAGACCGAUAGCGAACAAGUACAGUGAUGGAAAGAUGAAAAGAACUUUGAAAAGAGAGUGAAAAAGUACGUGAAAUUGUUGAAAGGGAAGGGUUUGAGAUCAGACUCGAUAUUUUGUGAGCCUUGCCUUCGUGGCGGGGUGACCCGCAGCUUAUCGGGCCAGCAUCGGUUUGGGCGGUAGGAUAAUGGCGUAGGAAUGUGACUUUACUUCGGUGAAGUGUUAUAGCCUGCGUUGAUGCUGCCUGCCUAGACCGAGGACUGCGAUUUUAUCAAGGAUGCUGGCAUAAUGAUCCCAAACCGCCCGUCUUGA